This 610-nucleotide ribosomal RNA is filed under the name Celeribacter sp. RNAcentral's name for it is "bacterial SSU rRNA". It matches the Rfam family "Bacterial small subunit ribosomal RNA", at positions 125 to 770 of the family's 1533-position model. Lineage: Bacteria; Pseudomonadati; Pseudomonadota; Alphaproteobacteria; Rhodobacterales; Roseobacteraceae. The record is from RNAcentral.
CGUACCCUUCACUACGGAAUAGUCCCGGGAAACUGGGUUUAAUACCGUAUACGCCCUUCGGGGGAAAGAAUUUCGGUGAGGGAUCGGCCCGCGUUAGAUUAGUUAGUUGGUGGGGUAAUGGCCUACCAAGACUACGAUCUAUAGCUGGUUUGAGAGGAUGAUCAGCAACACUGGGACUGAGACACGGCCCAGACUCCUACGGGAGGCAGCAGUGGGGAAUCUUAGACAAUGGGGGCAACCCUGAUCUAGCGAUGCCGCGUGAGUGAUGAAGGCCUUAGGGUCGUAAAGCUCUUUCGCCUGUGAUGAUAAUGACAGUAGCAGGUAAAGAAACCCCGGCUAACUCCGUGCCAGCAGCCGCGGUAAUACGGAGGGGGUUAGCGUUGUUCGGAAUUACUGGGCGUAAAGCGCACGUAGGCGGAUUAGUCAGUCAGAGGUGAAAUCCCAGGGCUCAACCCUGGAACUGCCUUUGAUACUGCUAGUCUUGAGUUCGAGAGAGGUAAGUGGAAUUCCGAGUGUAGAGGUGAAAUUCGUAGAUAUUCGGAGGAACACCAGUGGCGAAGGCGGCUUACUGGCUCGAUACUGACGCUGAGGUGCGAAAGUGUGGGGAGCA